Molecule: small nuclear RNA, 138 nt
Filed under: Tuber melanosporum Mel28
Lineage: Eukaryota; Fungi; Ascomycota; Pezizomycetes; Pezizales; Tuberaceae
Description: U4 spliceosomal RNA
Rfam family: U4 spliceosomal RNA
About the family: U4 small nuclear RNA (U4 snRNA) is a component of the major U2-dependent spliceosome. The structure of U4 snRNA from yeast and human has been reported.
Source: Rfam by way of RNAcentral
AUCCUUGUGCACGGGCAAGAUCGGUAGCAGUGAAGACUAGUCUGAGCUCUGAUUUUUGCUAGUUGAAAACUACAACUAAAUUGACGCUCCCGGUCCGCCCUGGGCGGAUCGGUGAAUUUUUGGAAUUUAUUGCGAUGU